AACGAACGCUGGCCGGCACGCCUCCAUACAUGCAAGUCGAGCGCGAAACCACCUUCGGGUGAUGUAGAGCGGCGAACGGGUGAGUAACAGGUGGGUAAUCUGCCCUUUGGCGGGGGACGAACUAGCUGGAAACGGCUGCUAAUACCGCAUGUGAUUGUGGACUUAUGGUCUGCAAGGAAAGGCGCCUCAAAGCGCCACCAAAGGAUGAGCCCGCCCCCCAUUAGCUAGUUGGUGAGAUAACAGCUCACCAAGGCAUCGAUGGGUAGCCGAGCUGAGAGGUUGAUCGGCCACACUGGAACUGAGACACGGUCCAGACACCUACGGGUGGCAGCAGUAGGGAAUAUUGCGCAAUGGGCGAAAGCCUGACGCAGCGAUGCCGCGUGAGUGACGAAGGUCUUAGGAUUGUAAAGCUCUUUUCUGAGGGAAGAAUAGGUCUGGUAGGAAAUGACUGGAUUCUGACGGUACCUCAGGAAUAAGGAACGGCUAACUCCGUG
RNAcentral lists this ribosomal RNA (494 nucleotides) under uncultured bacterium. RNAcentral's name for it is "bacterial SSU rRNA". It matches the Rfam family "Bacterial small subunit ribosomal RNA", at positions 29 to 507 of the family's 1533-position model. The record is from RNAcentral.